AGUCACUGACAUUAGAUACCCGCGUAGUCCAGGGUGUAAACGCUGCAGACUUGGUGUUGGAAGUCCUUUGGGGGCAUUCAGUGCCGGAGAGAAGUUGUUAAGUCUGCUACGUUGGGAGUACGUCCGCAAGGAUAGAAACUUAAAGGAAUUGGCGGGGGAGCACCGCAACGGGAGGAGCGUGCGGUUUAAUUGGAUUCAACACCGUAAAACUCACCAGGGAAGACUGUUACAUGAAGGCCGAGAUGAAGACUCUGCUAGAUUUUCAG
RNAcentral lists this ribosomal RNA (266 nucleotides) under uncultured archaeon. RNAcentral's name for it is "partial 16S ribosomal RNA". It matches the Rfam family "Archaeal small subunit ribosomal RNA", at positions 716 to 982 of the family's 1478-position model. The record is from RNAcentral.